This 1039-nucleotide ribosomal RNA is filed under the name Burkholderia sp. RNAcentral's name for it is "bacterial SSU rRNA". It matches the Rfam family "Bacterial small subunit ribosomal RNA", at positions 39 to 1020 of the family's 1533-position model. Lineage: Bacteria; Pseudomonadati; Pseudomonadota; Betaproteobacteria; Burkholderiales; Burkholderiaceae. The record is from RNAcentral.
GUGGUAUGGGUACCCAAUGUGUCUCGUGCAGUCGAACGGAUCAGCACCCGAGGGUGCUUGCACCUGGUGGCGAGUGGCGAACGGGUGAGUAAUACAUCGGAACAUGUCCUGUAGUGGGGGAUAGCCCGGCGAAAGCCGGAUUAAUACCGCAUACGAUCUACGGAUGAAAGCGGGGGACCUUCGGGCCUCGCGCUAUAGGGUUGGCCGAUGGCUGAUUAGCUAGUUGGUGGGGUAAAGGCCUCACCAAGGCGACGAUCAGUAGCUGGUCUGAGAGGAGCGACCCAGCCACACUGGGACUGAGACACGGCCCAGAUCUCCUACGGGAGGCAGCAGUGGGGAAUUUUGGACAAUGGGCGAAAGCCUGAUCCAGCCAAUGCCGCGUGUGUGAAGAAGGCCUUCGGGUUGUAAAGCACUUUUGUCCGGAAAGAAAUCCUUGGCUCUAAUACAGUCGGGGGAUGACGGUACCGGAAGAAUAAGCACCGGCUAACUACGUGCCAGCAGCCGCGGUAAUACGGUAGGGUGCAAGCGUUAAUCGGAAUUACUGGGCGUAAAGCGUGCGCAGGCGGUUUGCUAACGACCGAUGUGAAAUCCCCGGGCUCCAACCUGGCGAACUGCCAUUGGUCGACUGGACAGGCUCAGCAGUAUGGUCACGAGGGGGGAGUAGAAAUUGCCAUCGUGCUAAGCCAAGCUGAAAAUUGACCGUUACGAGUAUAGUGGAGGAAUACCGAUGGCGAAGGCAGCCCCCAAUGGGCYGAAUACGUGACGCUCAUGCACGAAAGCGUGGGGAGCAAACAGGAUUAGAUACCCUGGUAGUCCACGCCCUAAACGAUGUCAACUAGUUGUUGGGGAUUCAUUUCCUUAGUAACGUAGCUAACGCGUGAAGUUGACCGCCUGGGGAGUACGGUCGCAAGAUUAAAACUCAAAGGAAUUGACGGGGACCCGCACAAGCGGUGGAUGAUGUGGAUUAAUUCGAUGCAACGCGAAAAACCUUACCUACCCUUGACAUGGUCGGAAUCCUGCUGAGAGGUGGGAGUGCUCG